RNAcentral lists this ribosomal RNA (406 nucleotides) under uncultured bacterium. RNAcentral's name for it is "partial 16S ribosomal RNA". It matches the Rfam family "Bacterial small subunit ribosomal RNA", at positions 30 to 526 of the family's 1533-position model. The record is from RNAcentral.
AUUGAACGCUGGCGGCAGGCUUAACACAUGCAAGUCGAGCGAGCGGCGGACGGGUGAGUAAUGUCUGGGAACCUGCCUGAUGGAGGGGGAUAACUACUGGAAACGGUAGCUAAUACCGCAUACCAUCUGAUGUGCCCAGAUGGGAUUAGCUAGUAGGUGGGGUAAUGGCUCACCUAGGCCACGAUCCCUAGCUGGUCUGAGGGGAUGACCAGCAAAACUGGCACUGAGACACGGUCCAGACUCCUACUGGAGGGAGCAGUGUGGAAGAUUGCACAAGGGGCGCAAGCCCGAUGCAGCCAUGCCGCGUGUUUGAAGAAGGCCUUCGGGUUGUAAAGCACUUUCAGCGAGGAGGCGUUACUCGCAGAGGAAGCACCGGCUAACUCCGUGCCAGCAGCCGCGGUAAUUC